AUAUUUGUUAAGUAGACUUUGAUGUGAUUUCUGAAAGCUUGUAAAUUUGUGUAUUUAUAUACACACACACCCCUCUACCUUUUUGGCUGAAAGAGACUGUGGCAUUCACCUGCUUCCCCAUAGAUACAUAGAUAUAUAUAUAAUUUUGCAAUUUAACAUAAUGUUAAAAAUGAAUGAGUGAAUUAAGAAAUUUGCAUUUGUAAGAAGACUUUGAUGUGAUUUCUGAAAGCCUUGGGGUUGCCAUCAGUCUUAAAUUACUUGAAGGCAGGCAGCAACAAGAAGCCAUUAGAUGCCCCCAAUGUGCCAUCAUGGCUACUUCAGCCCCACUCAUUCUUGAUUUUAACAUUUUUGGAGGUUGUUGUUUGUGAAGGAGUUAAAUUUAAGGAACGGCUUUGGUUGACCUUUUUGGUCUGUGUUCAGGAAUGAAAUUGUUGCAUAUGGAACAUAAAAGUACUGUAUGUUAAGAAUAGACGCAUAAACCAGGCUUGCAAACAGCUACACUCCACAUUAAACAAACAUCUCCUCCUCAUAUUCAACAGCAGAUCAGAACCUGCAGGGUAUCUGAGCAUGUAUGGAGUGCCUCAUCCUGCAGUGUCUGGAAUGGCAGACCCAGGGGCUUCUGGGUCACGCAGGCAGAAUGAAGUCCCUGCACUCCUAGUUAGUGUUUUCUUCUUUUAUUUUAUUGCACGUAACUAGUUGGUUGUUAUUUCCUUCUCUUGGUACAGAUCCCUGAGGAUAUCCCUGAGGUUGCAACCUGAUACGCAGUUCAUUAGAAGCAAGUCUCCUGAGAAUACAGCAAAACAUUUCUCACAUAUGAUGAGAAAUUGCAAGGUGACUGUAGAGCUCCUGUCUGAAACGUCUGGAGGUGGUUUGCGGAUGAGUGAAGGCAAACAAGCAGAAGCUUAAUCCAAACAAGACAGAAUGGCUAAAUUCUUACUACAAUACAUGAUGACUGCCGCUAUACCUUUGUAUGCACAGAAUUGGAAAGAGAAUGUGGUUCCAGUGCAAUAGAACUGGCUGAUGAAACUAAAUGACUUGGCAGAAAUGGACAGGUUGACAACAUUGAUUAAAGAAGGGAUACUGUCAAAUUUCAAGAAGGAAUGGAAUGUAUUGAUAGUUGAAAAACUCACGGGGGGAAAUAUUAGUAUUGGGUUUCGAGGAUUAAUAGCAUUUCAUGUAUAGUAGAAGAACAAGCAGCAACUGGGAUGUAGUUAGUCAAUGUUUGUAUAUGUUUAAUCCAUAUUUAUGUUUAUUGCUCCUUCAGAUAUUGUCAUAUCUGAUUUUAUUCUCUUUAAUUAU
Molecule: long non-coding RNA, 1299 nt
Organism: Sceloporus undulatus (fence lizard)
Lineage: Eukaryota; Metazoa; Chordata; Lepidosauria; Squamata; Phrynosomatidae
Exons: 3
Source: RefSeq, a predicted model, not a curated record